CCUACGGGAGGCAGCAGUAGGGAAUAUUGCUCAAUGGGGGAAACUCUGAAGCAGCAACGCCGCGUGGAGGAUGAAGGUUUUCGGAUUGUAAACUCAUUUUGUUAGAGAAGAUAAUGACGGUAUCUAACGAAUAAGCACCGGCUAACUACGUGCCAGCAGCCGCGGUAAUACGGAGGGUGCAAGCGUUACUCGGAACCACUGGGCGUAAAGAGCGCGUAGGCGGGAUAGCAAGUCAGAUGUGAAAUCCUAUGGCUUAACCAUAGAACUGCAUUUGAAACUGUUAUUCUAGAGUAUGGGAGAGGUAGGUGGAAUUCUUGGUGUAGGGGUAAAAUCCGUAGAGAUCAAGAGGAAUACUCAUUGCGAAGGCGACCUGCUAGAACAUAACUGACGCUGAUGCGCGAAAGCGUGGGGAGCAAACAGGAUUAGAUACCCCGGUAGUC
Molecule: ribosomal RNA, 440 nt
Filed under: uncultured bacterium
Lineage: Bacteria
Description: partial 16S ribosomal RNA
Rfam family: Bacterial small subunit ribosomal RNA
Source: RNAcentral